AGCAAAUGCUGACUCACCAAGGCAGAAGAAAUGGAAGGAACAGUUAAAAGCUCUGCAGACUACCAGCUGGUUACUUGAAAGCAAAUAUUUGGAGGCUGCCACACAUUCUUGAUUAUUGAGAGCCAGUGAAGAAAGUAAACAAGUAUCUGCAGUAAGAGAAAAACAUUGGGAAAGACUAGAAGUGAAGAGAGGUGCAGCCAGUUCUGUGGACUUCAGGAAUUUUGCAAUCAACUCUAAUGAGACCUGGAUGCAGAGGUAUUCCGAGUUUCAUAUGGAAAUUUUACUGAAUUGCAUUUCAUGCGAUUCUGCUGUCUCCUGAUGGUAUUUGGUAUGGACCUGCGUGCCUUCCUACAGGACUCUGAGCGACACAACUGUCCUGAGGUGGUCAUUUGCUCUCUUGCAUGGAAAGAAACAG
Oxyura jamaicensis (ruddy duck) is the source of this 415-nucleotide long non-coding RNA. RefSeq lists it as uncharacterized. The record is from RefSeq and is a predicted model, not a curated record. The transcript has 4 exons. NCBI's taxonomy places the organism in Eukaryota, Metazoa, Chordata, Aves, Anseriformes, Anatidae.